GGGACAAGGGAAGAUAUCGGGGCUGAAAAGGCGAAGUGUGUGUGUGUUUGUGUGUGUGUUUCUCCGUCGCACGGCGCGCAGGAAUGAGGCAGAACCGGUCCGAGGCCCAGCCCUUCGCUGGUGUCUUGCUCGGGGACACUUCAACAUGGCACACGGAGCAUCCGGGAUCACCUUGCGGUUCCCACAAUGCACCACGCACGUGUCCUCCCAGAGACAGGAGCAGCUGAGCGUCCUCCCCCCCCGUGACCAGGGCCUCCUUCGCCGCGUCCCACAGGAAGCAGC
Molecule: long non-coding RNA, 282 nt
Organism: Pungitius pungitius (ninespine stickleback)
Lineage: Eukaryota; Metazoa; Chordata; Actinopteri; Perciformes; Gasterosteidae
Exons: 3
Source: RefSeq, a predicted model, not a curated record